Molecule: long non-coding RNA, 4450 nt
Filed under: Acyrthosiphon pisum (pea aphid)
Lineage: Eukaryota; Metazoa; Arthropoda; Insecta; Hemiptera; Aphididae
Description: uncharacterized LOC103307766, transcript variant X7
Source: RNAcentral
CUAAAAAAUAGUUUUCAAAUUUUCGUGAUUUUUACGAAUUUCGUCAAAAUUCUGACUUCAGACGCUCAUAAAAAAACUAUUGAGGAUUUACGCCGAACUUUUUUUUUAUUUCCACCAAAGACAACUUACGAGGAACGUUGUAGGCGUAUUACAUUCUCGAGUUAUUGGACAGAGCGAACAUUUUUUUUAUCGACAUAAAUUAUGAAAAAACUAAAAUAAUCGAACAUUUCAUAUGUAUAUGAAUACCUCGACACGAAUCUAAAAAUUUUUGAAAAUGUUACGGUUUUAAAUUCUAAUAUAAACAACCAGUUCAAAUUGCAUGUAUCUACAGACAUUGAAUUUAGAGUAACACCACCUACACGAAAAACCAAAACCGAUAUUAGGUAGGUACGUAAAAACUCACGUUUCCCUAAAUUUUUUUUUGUUUUUCCAGGCGCUUUUGGCGACCAGGCGGGCACUGUUCAUUUCGACAUGCCCUAUGCACCUACAAGAUUCACUUUCCCACAGGAAAAGAUGAAAAGCGAAGCAUUAUUUCGACUACUUAUCGUGCACACCGCCCCAAAUAAUAAAAAUGUAUUACGCAGAACGUACAUUUGCCAAUAGUUUCAAUAUAGUUCGAUUCACUCUAAUUUUUAAACUAACGAUGCUAAAUGUCAUCUGCUCAUCGUACAUUUUCUAUAUAUUAAGACGGAUACAAUAAAAUGCCCGUGUUACGUUUUAAAAUCUUGGAGCUGCAUCGUUCACGAUAUUUCGAAAAUUUAACGCCCGCGAACCUGUCUUAUCACUAUACGAACACGAAAUUGUAAUAAUGUUAUCAAAUAAAUAACAACAUCAUAUUAUUAUAUUUUCGUAUGCCGACUUUAAAUUUGAAUCACUCUCGAAUCGCGAUUAUUUGAAAUUCGAACAAAAAAUACAGACCACAGAACAGUCGUACCGAGUUCCAUUCAUACAAUUUAAUAUAAAAUCACCAUGGAUAAGUGUAUUCUUUCCAGUAAAACAUCCAAAGUAUCGCCUCGCCACAUUACGUACAUUUUCAUUUGUAAGUAUUAUUUUCUAGUUGUAGUGAUUAUAUUUCUUAAUAAUAUGGAGUCAGUCUAAUUUGCUAAUUCGUUCACAAAUAUAGAUUUCCAAAAAAUCAAUGAAAUAGAAAGAAAUAAUGGCUAAAAAUGUUCGAAUUAAAUGAUUGUCGCGAUAAUUUCUACCUGGCAUAGAAUCUGCGGUAGGUAAUCAUUUCACAAUAAUUAGUGAUGGUAAACAAUGGUCAGUAAAUUAGUAAACACGGUGUCAGAGGCUGUCUCAAAACAUAAUCCAAACCACUUGUCUGGUAUAGAGAAGUAAAAUAAAUGUUAUAGUGAUUCACGGCAAUAUUGGUACUACUCUGCGCACGACUAGUAAAUCGCAUCUAAGAGAAAAUUUUGUUUCUCCAACGAUGAGUUAGUAGUAAAUGAACAGACGAAUAUAAAGCAUUUGGAGGCCAUGAUUUUAAUUCACCCAGAAAUAAGCCUUAGAUACCCAAUAAUGUCUAAUUCACACACACUUAUCUAAGUAUAUCACUCAAGUAUCCGAUUUUAAACGUUUGCCAAGACCAAAAGUCACUUAAUAGUUUAUCGUUUUUAGUCCACACAGGGGAUUAUACUUAUAAUGUUUUUCAAAACUGAAAUAUUAUAUUAUGAUGUACCACAUACACGGAACUGGGAAGUGGAGCCAACGCAUUGACAAAUUUUCAGACGUUGACUUUCUUGGAGAUAAUUCUACCGACUCAGAUGAAGCCAUUCAAUAUUGGAGAGAAUUAUGAAACUUAAAGGUAAUACAAUUUUGCUGACCAAGAAUCCAAUUUUAACAACGCAGAGGGCCUCAACAUAUUUAAAUUGCAAAGAAACACACGACUAGUUAUUGGACAUUGGUAUCUUUUCUGAAGGGAAAGUGCAUCUAGUUGGAUGCGUUAAACAGGUUGCCAAACCCGUUCCCAUUUGCAACGAGGAGAGACAAACUUCUUUGAAAAAUGAGUGUGCUAUUACCAAAAAGCUUCAGUGGCUGUUAUUAAAAUUCUUCUACUGUCGACAAUGGACAUGCUCGAUGAAGACUUUUGAACUAUGUAUAUUCUGAUAUGGCGCUUUUGGCGACUAGGCGGGCACUGUUCAUUUCGACAUGCCCUAUGCACCUACAAGAUUCACUUUCCCACAGGAAAAGAUGAAAAGCGAAGCAUUAUUUCGACUACUUAUCGUGCACACCGCCCCAAAUAAUAAAAAUGUAUUACGCAGAACGUACAUUUGCCAAUAGUUUCAAUAUAGUUCGAUUCACUCUAAUUUUUAAACUAACGAUGCUAAAUGUCAUCUGCUCAUCGUACAUUUUCUAUAUAAGACGGAUACAAUAAAAUGCCCGUGUUACGUUUUAAAAUCUUGGAGCUGCAUCGUUCACGAUAUUUCGAAAAUUUAACGCCCGCGAACCUGUCUUAUCACUAUACGAACACGAAAUUGUAAUAAUGUUAUCAAAUAAAUAACAACAUCAUAUUAUUAUAUUUUCGUAUGCCGACUUUAAAUUUGAAUCACUCUCGAAUCGCGAUUAUUUGAAAUUCGAACAAAAAAUACAGACCACAGAACAGUCGUACCGAGUUCCAUUCAUACAAUUUAAUAUAAAAUCACCAUGGAUAAGUGUAUUCUUUCCAGUAAAACAUCCAAAGUAUCGCCUCGCCACAUUACGUACAUUUUCAUUUAUUUCCAAAAAAUCAAUGAAAUAGAAAGAAAUAAUGGCUAAAAAUGUUCGAAUUAAAUGAUUGUCGCGAUAAUUUCUACCUGGCAUAGAAUCUGCGGUAGGUAAUCAUUUCACAAUAAUUAGUGAUGGUAAACAAUGGUCAGUAAAUUAGUAAACACGGUGUCAGAGGCUGUCUCAAAACAUAAUCCAAACCACUUGUCUGGUAUAGAGAAGUAAAAUAAAUGUUAGUGAUUCACGGCAAUAUUGGUACUACUCUGCGCACGACUAGUAAAUCGCAUCUAAGAGAAAAUUUUGUUUCUCCAACGAUGAGUUAGUAGUAAAUGAACAGACGAAUAAAGCAUUUGGAGGCCAUGAUUUUAAUUCACCCAGAAAUAAGCCUUAGAUACCCAAUAAUGUCUAAUUCACACACACUUAUCUAAGUAUAUCACUCAAGUAUCCGAUUUUAAACGUUUGCCAAGACCAAAAGUCACUUAAUAGUUUAUCGUUUUUAGUCCACACAGGGGAUUAUACUUAUAAUGUUUUUCAAAACUGAAAUAUUAUAUUAUGAUGUACCACAUACACGGAACUGGGAAGUGGAGCCAAUGCAUUGACAAAUUUUCAGACGUUAACUUUCUUGGAGAUAAUUCUACCGACUCAGAUGAAGCCAUCAUACAAUAUUGGAGAGAAUUAUGAAACUUAAAGGUAAUACAAUUUUGCUGAGCAAGAAUCCAAUUUUAAUAACCCGGAGGGCUUCUACAUAUUUAAAUUGCAAAGAAACACAUAACUAGUUUGGACAUUGGUAUCUUUUCUGAAGGGAAAGUGCGUCUAGUUGGAUGCGUUAAACAGCUUGACGUUUUCAGAAAAUUUUGUUUCUCCAACGAUGAUUUAGAAGUAAAUGAACAGACGAAUAAAGAAUUUGGAGGCCAUGAUUUUAAUUCACCCAGAAAAGCCUUAGAUACCCAAUAAUGUCUAAUUCACACACACUUAUUCCACACAGGGGAUUAUACUUAUAAUGUUUUUCAAAACUGAAAUAUAUUAUGAUGUGCCACAUACACGGAACUGGGAAGUGGAGCCAAUGCAUUGACAAAUUUUCAGACGUUGACUUUCUUGGAGAUAAUUCUACCGACUCAGAUGAAGCCAUACAAUAUUGGAGAGAAUUAUGAAACUUAAAGGUAAUACAGUUUUGCUGACCAAGAAUCCAAUUUUAACACCGUAGAGGGCCUCAACAUAUUUAAAUUGCAAAGAAACACAUAACUAGUUUUGACAUUGGUAUCUUUUCUGAAGGGAAAGUGCAUCUAGUUGGAUGCGUUACACAGGUUGUCAAACCCAUUCCCAUUUGCAUCGAGGAGAGACAAACUUCUUUGAAAAAAGAGUGUGCUAUUACCAAAAAGCUUCAGUGGCUGUUAUUAAAAUUCUUCUACUGUCGACAAUGGACAUGCUCGAUGAAGACUUUUGAACUAUGUAUAUUCUGAUAUGGUACCUAUUUCCUUUGAUUUGUGUACUUAUUUUACAUAUGUUUCCCCCCGCCACCCAUCAGAAAGUAAUUAGUUAGUUUAUUUAACCAAAGAAAACUGUACCUACUCACUGUGUUUGUGAAUAAAAUUAUUUUGUCAAUGACUAAUUUAAGAAAACUUUAUUUUUAAAUUUUAUAAUAAAAAAGAAAAGUAGGUGCCUAUUUUUAAAUCUUAAUGAACUAUACCAUCAUGCUUUUCCUAUUUGUCGUAUCGAUAGUUUAUAUGUAUUUUAAAAUUUAGAAAUA